GAAUUGAACCUGAGAGUUUGAUCCUGGCUCAGAGCGAACGCUGGCGGCAUGCUUAACACAUGCAAGUCGCACGGACCUUUCGGGGUGAGUGGCGGACGGGUGAGUAACGCGUAGGGAUCUAUCCAUGGGUGGGGGAUAACACCGGGAAACUGGUGCUAAUACCGCAUGAUACCUGAGGGUCAAAGGCGCGAGUCGCCUGUGGAGGAGCCUGCGUUCGAUUAGCUUGUUGGUGGGGUAAAGGCCUACCAAGGCGAUGAUCGAUAGCUGGUCUGAGAGGAUGAUCAGCCACACUGGGACUGAGACACGGCCCAG
This 312-nucleotide ribosomal RNA is filed under the name Asaia sp. W19. Its description in RNAcentral is "bacterial SSU rRNA". It matches the Rfam family "Bacterial small subunit ribosomal RNA", at positions 1 to 334 of the family's 1533-position model. Lineage: Bacteria; Pseudomonadati; Pseudomonadota; Alphaproteobacteria; Acetobacterales; Acetobacteraceae. The record is from RNAcentral.